GAUGAACGCUGGCGGCGUGCCUAAUACAUGCAAGUCGAGCGAACAGACGAGGAGCUUGCUCCUCUGACGUUAGCGGCGGACGGGUGAGUAACACGUGGAUAACCUACCUAUAAGACUGGGAUAACUUCGGGAAACCGGAGCUAAUACCGGAUAACAUGUUGAACCGCAUGGUUCAACAGUGAAAGACGGUCUUGCUGUCACUUAUAGAUGGAUCCGCGCCGCAUUAGCUAGUUGGUAAGGUAACGGCUUACCAAGGCAACGAUGCGUAGCCGACCUGAGAGGGUGAUCGGCCACACUGGAACUGAGACACGGUCCAGACUCCUACGGGAGGCAGCAGUAGGGAAUCUUCCGCAAUGGGCGAAAGCCUGACGGAGCAACGCCGCGUGAGUGAAGAAGGUCUUCGGAUCGUAAAACUCUGUUAUAGGGAAGAACAAAUGUGUAAGUAACUAUGCACGUCUUGACGGUACCUAAUCAGAAAGCCACGGCUAACUACGUG
RNAcentral lists this ribosomal RNA (496 nucleotides) under uncultured bacterium. Its description in RNAcentral is "partial 16S ribosomal RNA". It matches the Rfam family "Bacterial small subunit ribosomal RNA", at positions 28 to 507 of the family's 1533-position model. The record is from RNAcentral.